UAAGAUUUUAAGUUAAAAAAACUAUAUGCCUUCAAAGUAUAAAUUAAUUUAAAUUAAGUCUUAG
RNAcentral lists this transfer RNA (64 nucleotides) under Ornithodoros hermsi. RNAcentral's name for it is "tRNA-Trp". The record is from RNAcentral. Lineage: Eukaryota; Metazoa; Arthropoda; Arachnida; Ixodida; Argasidae.